UGAUCCUGACUCACGAAUGAUUCCUGCUUCAAGCAAUUCCGUUAGGAUGAAUUGGGCUGCGUCCGAAAUCGCAUACUUCCAUACUAUAUAGUAGGCAAAAAACAGUAUGUGAAGCAAGUAGUAUGUCCGAAUUCUUAGUAUGCGAAAAACAGCAGGCGAGAUGUACCCGGAUGGACUACUACUUACGCACGAAUUCCGUAGCAUGCAUAGGAUGGACUCUAUCCCAUGAGGCUACGGUAGAGGAGGUGACAUAUUCGAAAAUAACGGACAAACGCGACGCGGCUGUUUUGAAGUGGACUGAUGAACACACUUGUUCUCAUCCACUGAAACCCUACUUACUGGAAACCAUAAUUCAGUAAUCCUGCUCUUGAAGAGAUGCACACUGUCAUCUAGUGUGAGUGUGACACACCUGUGGUCAGAUUGUCCCGCACAUGCUCUCCUGUGCUGACUUCUGUGUUUUUGGAUUCUAAUGUAUCAUUGUCAUGAUCUUCCACAACUUCUGGAUCAACAAUAUCCUCAUUCAGAAGACAGAGGUUGUGGAGCACUGCACAGCAUGCAGCAACAUCUGCACAAAGACAGGACUCACUUCCAGGGCUUGAAGAAGAAGAAGAUGGAGCACAGUUUGUCUUCAUCAUCCUAAAGGCUCUCUCAAUAAUGUUCUGUGCACGAGCAUCAUUGGUGUUGAAUCAAGGCUGUACAGGAUUGUGUUCAGGCUCUCUGUAUGGAGUGAUAAGGCAGAUGUGUGCACUCAAACAAGGAUACCCACCAUCUCCCAGGAUGUGUUUUCCUGCAGGUGGAUACAGGCCUUCAGUGUAAAUAGAGCUGCUCUUCAGCACCCUGGCAUCAUACACCGAUACUCAAAAAAAAUAUCAAGGUACUUCCCCUGGUGGUGACCUGCAGCUGAACAGAAUGAAACCGCUUCCUGCUGAAAUAACAUUGGGAUUCACUUGCUAGAGGUUCAGUUUGUAUGUGACAGCCAUCUAUUGUCCCAGUUACCAGAAGAAAAGCUGCUUCCACUGCCUGCCAUCUGUGGUGGGGAAGGCUAUCAGCCUCCUCAAAAUCCCCAUGACAGACCUACUCAUUCUGUGCACAAUUUUAUGCAGCUCUUGGAUAUCAA
Molecule: long non-coding RNA, 1117 nt
Organism: Carassius auratus (goldfish)
Lineage: Eukaryota; Metazoa; Chordata; Actinopteri; Cypriniformes; Cyprinidae
Exons: 3
Source: RefSeq, a predicted model, not a curated record